This 442-nucleotide ribosomal RNA is filed under the name uncultured Gammaproteobacteria bacterium. RNAcentral's name for it is "bacterial SSU rRNA". It matches the Rfam family "Bacterial small subunit ribosomal RNA", at positions 9 to 453 of the family's 1533-position model. Lineage: Bacteria; Pseudomonadati; Pseudomonadota; Gammaproteobacteria. The record is from RNAcentral.
GAGUUUGAUCAUGGCUCAGAUUGAACGCUGGCGGCAGGCCUAACACAUGCAAGUCGAGCGGAUGAGUGGAGCUUGCUCCAUGAUUCAGCGGCGGACGGGUGAGUAAUGCCUAGGAAUCUGCCUGGUAGUGGGGGACAACGUUUCGAAAGGAACGCUAAUACCGCAUACGUCCUACGGGAGAAAGCAGGGGACCUUCGGGCCUUGCGCUAUCAGAUGAGCCUAGGUCGGAUUAGCUAGUUGGUGGGGUAAAGGCCUACCAAGGCGACGAUCCGUAACUGGUCUGAGAGGAUGAUCAGUCACACUGGAACUGAGACACGGUCCAGACUCCUACGGGAGGCAGCAGUGGGGAAUAUUGGACAAUGGGCGAAAGCCUGAUCCAGCCAUGCCGCGUGUGUGAAGAAGGUCUUCGGAUUGUAAAGCACUUUAAGUUGGGAGGAAGGGC